This 1549-nucleotide ribosomal RNA is filed under the name human gut metagenome. RNAcentral describes it as "bacterial LSU rRNA". It matches the Rfam family "Bacterial large subunit ribosomal RNA", at positions 813 to 2443 of the family's 2925-position model. The record is from RNAcentral.
GGAUAGCGGAGAAAUUCCAAUCGAACCCGGAUAUAGCUGGUUCUCCCCGAAAUAGUUUUAGGACUAGCCUCGUGAUUAAGAUUAUCGGAGGUAAAGCACUGAAUGGCCUAGGGGUCGAGAGAUUACCGAAGCCUAUCAAACUCUGAAUGCCGAAUAAUCAUGCACGGGAGUCAGACUGUGUGAGAUAAGUUUCAUAGUCGAAAGGGAAACAGCCCAGACCUACAGCUAAGGUCCCAAAGUACGUUUAAGUGGAAAACGAUGUGAAAUUGCGUAGACAACCAGGAUGUUGGCUUAGAAGCAGCCAUACAUUAAAAGAGUGCGUAAUAGCUCACUGGUCGAGUGACUUUGCGCGGAAAAUUUAACGGGGCUAAAACGUACACCGAAGCUUAGGCUUGUCACAAUGUGACAGGGGUAGGGGAGCGUUGAAUGAGGGGUGAAGUCGUAGCGAAAGCGACGGUGGACUUCAUUCAAGUGAGAAUGCCGGAAUGAGUAGCGAGAAUUAUGUGAGAAUCAUAAUGGCCGAAAGCCUAAGGUUUUUGGAGGAAGGUUCGUCCGCUCCAAGUAAGUCGGAAGCUAAGGUGAGGCUGAAAAGCGUAGCCGAUGCACAAACGGUUGAAAUUCCGUUACCACAGAAAGAUUUAAACUAAGGGACACUUUUGAAGAGCUGAUGCCGGGUGUUGGUUACCCCGGUCGUAAGGGAACGAAAUUAAGUAGUGAAGUCAGCGUGGAUGAAGGCGAGAAAAGCUUAGUGUAUAUCUUAUGUGUCCGUACCGCAAACCGACACAGGUAGGUAGGAAGAGAAUUCUAAGGCCAACGGGAGAAGGGUAGUUAAGGAACUCGGCAAAAUGUCCCCGUAACUUCGGAAUAAGGGGAGGUUUCUACGGAAACCCGCAGAGAAUAGUCCCAGGCAACUGUUUAUCAAAAACACAGCUCUAUGCUAAAUCGAAAGAUGACGUAUAUGGGGUGACGCCUGCCCGGUGCCGGAAGGUUAAGAGGAGGAGUGAGAGCCCUGAAUCGAAGCCCCGGUAAACGGCGGCCGUAACUAUAACGGUCCUAAGGUAGCGAAAUUCCUUGUCAGGUAAGUUCUGACCCGCACGAAUGGUGUAACGAUUUGGGCACUGUCUCAACAACCCACCCGGCGAAAUUGUAGUACCGGUGAAGAUGCCGGUUACCCGCGACUAGACGGAAAGACCCCAUGGAGCUUUACUGUAGCUUAAUAUUGGAUUUCGGCAUUUCAUGUACAGGAUAGGUGGGAGACUAGGAAACAUAGGCGUCAGCUUAUGCGGAGUCGUCCUUGGGAUACCACUCUUGGAGUGCUGAAAUUCUAACCUGCAGCCCUGAAUCGGGUUGGGGGACAUUGUUAGGUGGGCAGUUUGACUGGGGCGGUCGCCUCCAAAAAGGUAACGGAGGCGCUCAAAGGUUGGCUCAGCAUGGAUGGAAACCAUGCCAUAGAGUGCAAACGCAAAAGCCAGCCUGACUGCGAGACUGACGGGUCGAGCAGAAACGAAAGUUGGAGUUAGUGAUCCGGCGGUAUGUGAAUGGAAAUGCC